GGUUAAGCGACUAAGCGUACACGGUGGAUGCCCUGGCAGUCAGAGGCGAUGAAGGACGUGCUAAUCUGCGAAAAGCGUCGGUAAGGUGAUAUGAACCGUUAUAACCGGCGAUGUCCGAAUGGGGAAACCCAGUGUGAUUCGUCACACUAUCGUUAACUGAAUACAUAGGUUAACGAGGCGAACCGGGGGAACUGAAACAUCUAAGUACCCCGAGGAAAAGAAAUCAACCGAGAUUCCCCCAGUAGCGGCGAGCGAACGGGGAGCAGCCCAGAGUCUGAAUCAGCUUGUGUGUUAGUGGAACGGUCUGGAAAGUCCGACGGUACAGGGUGAUAGUCCCGUACACCAAAAUGCACAGGUUGUGAACUCGAAGAGUAGGGCGGGACACGUGGUAUCCUGUCUGAAUAUGGGGGGACCAUCCUCCAAGGCUAAAUACUCCUGACUGACCGAUAGUGAACCAGUACCGUGAGGGAAAGGCGAAAAGAACCCCGGCGAGGGGAGUGAAAAAGAACCUGAAACCGUGUACGUACAAGCAGUGGGAGCACCUUUAUGGUGUGACUGCGUACCUUUUGUAUAAUGGGUCAGCGACUUAUAUUCUGUAGCAAGGUUAACCGUAUAGGGGAGCCGCAGGGAAACCGAGUCUUAACUGGGCGUUAAGUUGCAGGGUAUAGACCCGAAACCCGGUGAUCUAGCCAUGGGCAGGUUGAAGGUUGGGUAACACUAACUGGAGGACCGAACCGACUAAUGUUGAAAAAUUAGCGGAUGACUUGUGGCUGGGGGUGAAAGGCCAAUCAAACCGGGAGAUAGCUGGUUCUCCCCGAAAGCUAUUUAGGUAGCGCCUCGUGAAUUCAUCUUCGGGGGUAGAGCACUGUUUCGGCUAGGGGGUCAUCCCGACUUACCAACCCGAUGCAAACUACGAAUACCGAAGAAUGUUAUCACGGGAGACACACGGCGGGUGCUAACGUCCGUCGUGAAGAGGGAAACAACCCAGACCGCCAGCUAAGGUCCCAAAGUCAUGGUUAAGUGGGAAACGAUGUGGGAAGGCACAGACAGCCAGGAUGUUGGCUUAGAAGCAGCCAUCAUUUAAAGAAAGCGUAAUAGCUCACUGGUCGAGUCGGCCUGCGCGGAAGAUGUAACGGGGCUAAACCAUGCACCGAAGCUGCGGCAGCGACACUAUGUGUUGUUGGGUAGGGGAGCGUUCUGUAAGCCUGCGAAGGUGACCUGUGAGGGUUGCUGGAGGUAUCAGAAGUGCGAAUGCUGACAUAAGUAACGAUAAAGCGGGUGAAAAGCCCGCUCGCCGGAAGACCAAGGGUUCCUGUCCAACGUUAAUCGGGGCAGGGUGAGUCGACCCCUAAGGCGAGGCCGAAAGGCGUAGUCGAUGGGAAACAGGUUAAUAUUCCUGUACUUGGUGUUACUGCGAAGGGGGGACGGAGAAGGCUAUGUUAGCCGGGCGACGGUUGUCCCGGUUUAAGCAUGUAGGCUGGUUAUCCAGGCAAAUCCGGAUAAUCAAGGCUGAGGUGUGAUGACGAGGCACUACGGUGCUGAAGUAACAAAUGCCCUGCUUCCAGGAAAAGCCUCUAAGCAUCAGGUAACAUCAAAUCGUACCCCAAACCGACACAGGUGGUCAGGUAGAGAAUACCAAGGCGCUUGAGAGAACUCGGGUGAAGGAACUAGGCAAAAUGGUGCCGUAACUUCGGGAGAAGGCACGCUGGUGUGUAGGUGAAGCCCCUGCGGGUGGAGCUGAGACCAGUCGAAGAUACCAGCUGGCUGCAACUGUUUAUUAAAAACACAGCACUGUGCAAACACGAAAGUGGACGUAUACGGUGUGACGCCUGCCCGGUGCCGGAAGGUUAAUUGAUGGGGUUAUCCGUAAGGAGAAGCUCUUGAUCGAAGCCCCGGUAAACGGCGGCCGUAACUAUAACGGUCCUAAGGUAGCGAAAUUCCUUGUCGGGUAAGUUCCGACCUGCACGAAUGGCGUAAUGAUGGCCAGGCUGUCUCCACCCGAGACUCAGUGAAAUUGAACUCGCUGUGAAGAUGCAGUGUACCCGCGGCAAGACGGAAAGACCCCGUGAACCUUUACUAUAGCUUGACACUGAACAUUGAGCCUUGAUGUGUAGGAUAGGUGGGAGGCUUUGAAGCGUGGACGCCAGUCUGCGUGGAGCCAACCUUGAAAUACCACCCUUUAAUGUUUGAUGUUCUAACGUUGGCCCCUUAUCGGGGUUGCGGACAGUGUCUGGUGGGUAGUUUGACUGGGGCGGUCUCCUCCCAAAGCGUAACGGAGGAGCACGAAGGUUAGCUAAUCCUGGUCGGACAUCAGGAGGUUAGUGCAAUGGCAUAAGCUAGCUUGACUGCGAGCGUGACGGCGCGAGCAGGUGCGAAAGCAGGUCAUAGUGAUCCGGUGGUUCUGAAUGGAAGGGCCAUCGCUCAACGGAUAAAAGGUACUCCGGGGAUAACAGGCUGAUACCGCCCAAGAGUUCAUAUCGACGGCGGUGUUUGGCACCUCGAUGUCGGCUCAUCACAUCCUGGGGCUGAAGUAGGUCCCAAGGGUAUGGCUGUUCGCCAUUUAAAGUGGUACGCGAGCUGGGUUUAGAACGUCGUGAGACAGUUCGGUCCCUAUCUGCCGUGGGCGCUGGAGAAUUGAGGGGGGCUGCUCCUAGUACGAGAGGACCGGAGUGGACGCAUCACUGGUGUUCGGGUUGUCAUGCCAAUGGCACUGCCCGGUAGCUAAAUGCGGAAGAGAUAAGUGCUGAAAGCAUCUAAGCACGAAACUUGCCCCGAGAUGAGUUCUCCCUGAGACUUUAAGUCUCCUGAAGGAACGUUGAAGACGACGACGUUGAUAGGCCGGGUGUGUAAGCGCAGCGAUGCGUUGAGCUAACCGGUACUAAUGAACCGUGAGGCUUAACCUU
RNAcentral lists this ribosomal RNA (2903 nucleotides) under Klebsiella quasipneumoniae. RNAcentral describes it as "23S ribosomal RNA". It matches the Rfam family "Bacterial large subunit ribosomal RNA". Lineage: Bacteria; Pseudomonadati; Pseudomonadota; Gammaproteobacteria; Enterobacterales; Enterobacteriaceae. The record is from RNAcentral.